GAUGAACGCUGGCGGCGUGCCUAAUACAUGCAAGUCGUGCGGCAGCGAGCCCUUCGGGGUGUCGGCGAGCGGCGGACGGCUGAGUAACACGUAGGAACAUACCCCAAAGUGAGGGAUAACUGCUCGAAAGAGUAGCUAAUACCGCAUGUGGUCUAAGGAUUAAAGCUUCGGCGCUUUGGGAAUGGCCUGCGUUCGAUUAGCUCGAUGGUGAGGUAAAAGCUCACCAUGGCGACGAUCGAUAGCUGGUCUGAGAGGAUGAUCAGCCAGACUGGGGCUGAGACACGGCCCAGACUCCUACGGGAGGCAGCAGUAGGGAAUUUUCCACAAUGGGCGAAAGCCUGAUGGAGCAACGCCGCGUGCAGGAUGAAGGCCUUCGGGUUGUAAACUGCUUUUAUAUGUGACGAUUAUGACGGUAGCAUAUGAAUAAGGAUCGGCUAACUCCGUGCCAGCAGCCGCGGUAA
This 461-nucleotide ribosomal RNA is filed under the name uncultured bacterium. Its description in RNAcentral is "partial 16S ribosomal RNA". It matches the Rfam family "Bacterial small subunit ribosomal RNA", at positions 28 to 523 of the family's 1533-position model. The record is from RNAcentral.